Leopardus geoffroyi (Geoffroy's cat) is the source of this 339-nucleotide long non-coding RNA. RefSeq lists it as uncharacterized. NCBI's taxonomy places the organism in Eukaryota, Metazoa, Chordata, Mammalia, Carnivora, Felidae. The record is from RefSeq and is a predicted model, not a curated record. The transcript is spliced from 3 exons.
GUCCGGGCAAGCGCUUCCAUCACAGGCUGCUCCUCUCUCCCCCCCAGUCGUGGCAGGAAAUGGCAGGGAUGCGGCGGCAUCGCGUCGAGGCCGUCCUACUGCGCGUCACGUCAGACAACGUCAUCCACCGAUUUGGGCACCUGACACCCCAGCAAGAAAGAAUGAGACACCAAAGCCACGGCAGGUGCAUCUGUGCAAAGUUCAGUUGGCGUCCUCAAACGGUAUUUGUAGGUUGCCAAGAGGUGAAAGUAGACGCAAAGCCCAGCAGUGGGGAAGCCUGAGCAUACGGCGGGUCCAGGGCAGACGUCCCCAGAAGACAGCGCCAGCCUCAGAACCGUC